GUGGGGAUGACGUCAAGUCCUCAUGGCCCUUAUGUCCUGGGCUACACACGUGCUACAAUGGCGGUGACAGUGGGAAGCCAGGCAGCGAUGCCGAGCUGAUCCUCAAAAGCCGUCUCAGUUCGGAUUGCACUCUGCAACUCGAGUGCAUGAAGGUGGAAUCGCUAGUAAUCGCGGAUCAGCAUGCCGCGGUGAAUACGUUCCCGGGCCUUGUACACACCGCCCGUCACACCAUGGGAUUUGGUUUGACCUUAAGUUGGUGCGAUAACCCGCAAGGGAGGCAGCCAACCACGGUCGGGUUAGAGACUGGGGUGAAGUCGUAACAAGGUAGCCGUAA
RNAcentral lists this ribosomal RNA (334 nucleotides) under uncultured bacterium. RNAcentral's name for it is "bacterial SSU rRNA". It matches the Rfam family "Bacterial small subunit ribosomal RNA", at positions 1173 to 1505 of the family's 1533-position model. The record is from RNAcentral.